Molecule: long non-coding RNA, 1814 nt
Organism: Vidua macroura (Pin-tailed whydah)
Lineage: Eukaryota; Metazoa; Chordata; Aves; Passeriformes; Viduidae
Exons: 3
Source: RefSeq, a predicted model, not a curated record
AUGAGGAAUGGAAGGAUGCAGGAAGGAAGGGACAGAGAGAUGGAGGGAUGAAGGGACAGAGAGAUGGAGUAUGGGGGGCCAGAGAGAUGUGGCACUGGAGGGCAGCCUGGGACCUGGACCACAGCAGCAGCUUCAGCUGGGUUUCAGCAAAGUCAUCAUCUCUACAGGGAAAACUACCCUGAGCAGGUUCACUGCCAGCUUGGAACAGUGGUGCCAUCUGUGCUGCUUACAGGUGCUUUCCUUGAGGGAUAUGGAGAGUGUUUGUGUAUGGCAAAACUGCUGUCAGAUGUCCUGGGUGAAGGUUGAGGCUUUCCAGGAAAUGCCAUGGUCUCGGAGCAAAUAAAACCCAUGGGUGCAGCCAUCCAGCAUUCCUGCAACCUCUGCCCUGCUCCUUGCUGCAGUGCCAUACAGCACAUGGCAUGGCAGAGUGGCCUCUUCUUUCCCUCCUGAGCCACCACGGCAUCCUGCUACCCUGGAAGAGAAGAAAUAUGACAUGGUUGCUUUCCUUGCAAUCAGUAAGAUGAGGAAAUAAGCACUUUGGUUUUGGUGGUUCCUGCUGUGAUCUUGCCUCUCAGAAUUUACUCAGAAAGAGCCCUCCUCAUCUUUGAAUCCACUGCUACCUGAGCCAGCAAAGUGACAGCUUGCAUGAGGGGGGCAGGAGGGGGCUGGCAUGGACCAGGGAGGGCCUUUGUAGCCCCUACUCAGUUGGGUGGGGAUGCAAGGUAGGUUUGCUGUGUAACUCAGGCUUAAAACUUCCAAAUAAUUCUUCAAAACACCUAAUAAAAUUUUAGCUAGCCAAUCCCAACACUCAACCGAAAUGUGGGAGCAGGUUUUGUUUACUUAUAAACAAGUAAAGCAAUUACAAAUCAUUUUAGAAAAUCAAUGAAGUUAAUUUAGAGUUAAGAUAGAAAUUGGAUCACUGAAAAAUUAUGAAUGUGGGUACAGAGAACAUCUAAUCACUAGAGGAUGUUCUUUCCACAUUUGGUUUGACUUUCUUGAUUGUUUCCCCAGUAGGGAAAGCAAUGACAUAAGAAAGUUUAAUAACAGAACAACAAAACAAGGAAAUAUAAAAGUGGAAUAAGUCUCACAUCAUAUAAACUUACCAUAAAGAUGCAUAUCAAAGAUUAGGAAGUAGCAAGUCAUUUAAGGCUGAACAAUCCAAAUCAUUAACUUUUAAUAUAAAGUUACUUCAUAUCUCACCACACUGAUGUUUUUAUCUCCUAGAAUAAUAACAAUUUUGCUGAAUGACUUCCUGCAUAUCAGCUGCUUUUCUUUUGUGAGCACAUAAAGGAAAUACAAAAGUGUUAGAAAAAUUUUGCAACUGUGAAAGAAAAAAAAAGCCUUUUAUUUGCAUUUCUGUAUUAGCUAAAAGACCUAGAGUGUACAAAGUUUUGUCUGUUUGUUUCAAAUUUUAUACAUCAGGUAUUCUGAAAUUUCAGACCUGUCUUACCUUCUGGAUUAUAGAGCAAAUAUAAAACUUGCCCUUAAGCAGAAACUGUGCUGCAAGAACAAGAAGCUGCCAGCUGUGGGACUAAAUAUCUGCUAUUCUAAGACUUUAUCCUCAACAUUUGCCAGGAGAUGCUUGAAGAAUAUUAAAAACACAGGCAGCCCCUGCUUUUCUGCGUCUCAGGGGUGCAGAAGAGGCAGGAAGGUGCCUGUUAAAGCAAUACCAUCUAGUGGCGGAUGCAGAAAGAGAAUCCCCCAACAGGAGCAGAGCUGGAAAGGUGAAAGCUGAAAAGACAUUAUUUAAAAACAAAACCACCUGCUUGAGAGUAUUUUUUUUCAUUACCUGUUUCCAUGGUAAUGUAUCAAAA